AUUGAACGCUGGCGGCAUGCUUUACACAUGCAAGUCGAACGGUAACAGGCCUUCGGGUGCUGACGAGUGGCGAACGGGUGAGUAAUGCAUCGGAACGUACCCAGAGGUGGGGGAUAACGCAGCGAAAGCUGUGCUAAUACCGCAUGUGAUCUGAGGAUGAAAGCGGGGGACCGAGCAGCAAUGUUUGGCCUCGCGCCUUUGGAGCGGCCGAUGUCGGAUUAGCUAGUUGGUGGGGUAAAGGCCUACCAAGGCGACGAUCCGUAGCUGGUCUGAGAGGACGACCAGCCACACUGGGACUGAGACACGGCUCAGACUCCUACGGGAGGCAGCAGUGGGGAAUUUUGGACAAUGGGCGCAAGCCUGAUCCAGCAAUGCCGCGUGCGGGAAGAAGGCCUUCGGGUUGUAAACCGCUUUUGGCAGGAACGAAACGGUGUCCGCUAAUACCGGGCGCUAAUGACGGUACCUGCAGAAUAAGCACCGGCUAACUACGUG
Molecule: ribosomal RNA, 492 nt
Filed under: uncultured bacterium
Lineage: Bacteria
Description: partial 16S ribosomal RNA
Rfam family: Bacterial small subunit ribosomal RNA
Source: RNAcentral